RNAcentral lists this ribosomal RNA (468 nucleotides) under uncultured bacterium. RNAcentral describes it as "partial 16S ribosomal RNA". It matches the Rfam family "Bacterial small subunit ribosomal RNA", at positions 28 to 507 of the family's 1533-position model. The record is from RNAcentral.
GACGAACGCUGGCGGCGUGCUUAACACAUGCAAGUCGAACGGAAAGGCCCUGCUUUUGUGGGGUGCUCGAGUGGCGAACGGGUGAGUAACACGUGAGUAACCUGCCCUUGACUUUGGGAUAACUUCAGGAAACUGGGGCUAAUACCGGAUAGGAGCUCCUGCUGCAUGGUGGGGGUUGGAAAGUUUCGGCGGUUGGGGAUGGACUCGCGGCUUAUCAGCUUGUUGGUGGGGUAGUGGCUUACCAAGGCUUUGACGGGUAGCCGGCCUGAGAGGGUGACCGGCCACAUUGGGACUGAGAUACGGCCCAGACUCCUACGGGAGGCAGCAGUGAGGAAUAUUGCACAAUGGGCGGAAGCCUGAUGCAGCAACGCCGCGUGCGGUAUGACGGCCUUCGGGUUGUAAACCGCUUUCGCCUGUGACGAAGCGUGAGUGACGGUAAUGGGUAAAGAAGCACCGGCUAACUACGUG